GGAUUUUAUUUUAACAAAUUGAAAAUAAGUGACUUAAAUGAAAUAACCAUAAAGUUGAGGGACGGUUGGUGCAAUUUACCCUUCAGCUUGGAGAACACUUAUAUAUUGAUAUUGUUUUCUCCUAUUUGCAGUUAUAUUUUUCUUCUAUGAUAAUAAAUAAUGCAUAAUAUGAAUUGAGUUAAAUGGCAAAAACAAAUUGCACAGUUUAGUAGUUAGUUAAGGGUUUUGUGUGGGUAUAUUAUGGUAACCCAUUUCUUAUAACCAAUGUUGCAGGCAGUGAGCAUUUUUAUAGACA
Molecule: unclassified non-coding RNA, 295 nt
Filed under: Hevea brasiliensis (rubber tree)
Lineage: Eukaryota; Viridiplantae; Streptophyta; Magnoliopsida; Malpighiales; Euphorbiaceae
Source: RNAcentral